RNAcentral lists this ribosomal RNA (726 nucleotides) under uncultured bacterium. RNAcentral describes it as "bacterial SSU rRNA". It matches the Rfam family "Bacterial small subunit ribosomal RNA", at positions 154 to 882 of the family's 1533-position model. The record is from RNAcentral.
AAACGCCGACUAAUCCCCGAUGGGAUACGAUGCUUCAUUGCAUGUAGUGAAAGUUACGGCGGCGACGGAUUGGCUCGCGUCCGAUUAGCUUGUUGGCGGGGUAACGGCCCACCAAGGCUACGAUCGGUAGGGGUUCUGAGAGGAAGGCCCCCCACAAUGGGACUGAGACACGGCCCAUACUCCUACGGGAGGCAGCAGUGAGGAAUAUUGGUCAAUGGGCGGAAGCCUGAACCAGCCAUGCCGCGUGCGGGAAGGAGGCCCUAUGGGCUGUGAACCGCUUUUGCCUGGGGGCAAUAAGGGCGUCGCGCACGUCCGAUGAGAGUACCAGGCGAAUAAGCAUCGGCUAACUCCGUGCCAGCAGCCGCGGUAAUACGGGGGAUGCGAGCGUUAUCCGGAUUCAUUGGGUUUAAAGGGUGCGUAGGCUGUGCGUCAAGUCGGGGGUGAAAUUCCGGUGCUCAACACCGGGGCUGCCCUUGAUACUGUCGCGCUGGAGUGCGGAUGCCGCCGGAGGAAUGAGUGGUGUAGCGGUGAAAUGCUUAGAUAUCACUCAGAACACCGAUUGCGAAGGCAUCUGGCGAAUCCGUAACUGACGCUGAGGCACGAAAGCGUGGGGAUAGAACAGGAUUAGAUACCCUGGUAUUCCACGCCGUAAACGAUGAUGGCUAACCGCCGGCGACACACUGUCGGUGGCCAAGCGAAAGCGAUAAGCCAUCCACCUGGGGAGUA